RNAcentral lists this ribosomal RNA (497 nucleotides) under uncultured bacterium. Its description in RNAcentral is "partial 16S ribosomal RNA". It matches the Rfam family "Bacterial small subunit ribosomal RNA", at positions 29 to 507 of the family's 1533-position model. The record is from RNAcentral.
AAUGAACGCUGGCGGCGUGCCUAAUACAUGCAAGUCGAGCGAACAGACGAGGAGCUUUCUCCUCUGACUUUAGCGGCGGACGGGUGAGUAACACGUGGAUAACCUACCUAUAAGACUGGGAUAACUUCGGGAAACCGGAGCUAAUACCGGAUAAUAUAUUGAACCGCAUUGUUCAAUAGUUAAAUACGGUUUUUCUUUCACUUAUAGAUGGAUCCGCGCCGCAUUAGCUAGUUGGUAAGGUAACGGCUUAACAAGGCAACGAUGCGUAGCCGACCUGAGAGGGUGAUCCGCCAGCCUGGAACUGAGACACGGCCCAGACUCCUACGGGAGGAAGCAGUAGGGAAUCUUACGCAAUGGGCGAAAGCUUGACGGAGCACAGCCGCGGGAGUGAUGAAGGUCUUCGGCUGGUAAAGCUCUGUUAUUAGGGAAGAACAAAUGUGUAAGUACCUAUGAAGGUAUUGACGGUACCUAAUCAGAAAGCCACGGCUAACUCCGUG